This is a non-coding RNA of Terramyces sp. JEL0728, 73 nucleotides long. The record is from the annotation of a GenBank genome assembly. NCBI's taxonomy places the organism in Eukaryota, Fungi, Chytridiomycota, Chytridiomycetes, Rhizophydiales, Terramycetaceae.
GCUUCUUUAGCUCAGCUGGGAGAGCGCGGCACUGAAGAUGCUGAGGUCGUGUGUUCAAUCCACACAAGGAGCA